Molecule: long non-coding RNA, 896 nt
Organism: Nicotiana tabacum (common tobacco)
Lineage: Eukaryota; Viridiplantae; Streptophyta; Magnoliopsida; Solanales; Solanaceae
Source: RefSeq, a predicted model, not a curated record
CCCCAACAAAAAAACCCUAGCCUUCCCCUUCUCCAUCUUCAUCCUCCUAGCCGCCAUCUGAGGUUCUGAAAACACCAGAGGCGGACGACCCCUCAUUUAAAAAAAAAAAACAAAAAACCCUAGCAGCUCCUCCAUCAACUCCAACAACGCAUUUUCUCACUCAAGACGUUCAAUCUCACCCUCAUUUCACUCAUACAUAGAUCUAAAAGAGAAGAGAGAUUCUUCAAAUUUCAAAAAAAUCGAAUCCGAAAAUAAAGGGUCUAAAAAGGGAAGAUGAAUGUUUGAUGAAGAUUUGAAUUCUAAUGGAUUGUUAGAAACGUUAAGGCUUAAAGACUUUUUCUGGAUUCCUAUCAGUGCUGUUCAAAGUCUAAGUUGCCGAUUUUCGCUGAAGCUAGGCUCCAAUUUGAAGAACCUCGUAUUUAUUCGGCUUUCGAUCUAGUUUGCUUUUUGUUCUUGCUUCAAACAACUUUAUUUUGUCCGCUGUUGUUGAGUUAAAGGAUGGAUCUGGGCUAAGUGACGCAAGGAUUGGAAAAGAAAACCAUAGAGGGCAGCUGAGAAAUUGUGAGCAAUUAUAGAGUUUUUCUUUCAAAAGACAAACAGUUAUGAAGCAGCCUAUGCUUCUCGUUGUUCUAAGAUAUUUCAUCCAUCAUUUCUGGGUGUGCAAAGUUUGAUUCGAUCUAUUUUGUUGCUGUCGUUGCUGCUAUUCCACUGUUGAGCUCCAACACUUCAUUUGAUAGCCUUUAGUUGGUCUUUUCAGCUUGUUUUGAACACUAGGUGCACACAUAAUCCCAUGUAUUUAUGUUUGAGUUGUAUAAUUGAAUCACCUAGCUUCCCUCAUUGAUUGAAUGUUGAAUUUAUGCUCCUGUUAUGGUGUAAUUCAACUAUUUCUGGUAGUA